Molecule: ribosomal RNA, 509 nt
Filed under: uncultured bacterium
Lineage: Bacteria
Description: bacterial SSU rRNA
Rfam family: Bacterial small subunit ribosomal RNA
Source: RNAcentral
CUGGCUCAGGAUGAACGCUAGCUACAGGCUUAACACAUGCAAGUCGAGGGGCAGCAUUGGGAUAGCUUGCUAUUCAGAUGGCGACCGGCGCACGGGUGAGUAACGCGUAUCCAACCUUCCUGCCAGUAGGGAACAGCCCGGCGAAAGUCGGAUUAAUGCCCUAUGUUCUUCAAUGCGGACAUCUAAGUUGAAGGAAAGAUUCAUCGCUGGCAGAUGGGGAUGCGUCCGAUUAGCUUGCCGGCGGGGUAACGGCCCACCGGGGCGACGAUCGGUAGGGGUUCUGAGAGGAAGGUCCCCCACACUGGUACUGAGACACGGACCAGACUCCUACGGGAGGCAGCAGUGAGGAAUAUUGGUCAAUGGGCGUAAGCCUGAACCAGCCAAGUAGCGUGCAGGACGACGGCCCUACGGGUUGUAAACUGCUUUUAUGCGGGGAUAAAGUGCGGCACGUGUGCCGCUUUGCAGGUACCGCAUGAAUAAGGACCGGCUAAUUCCGUGCCAGCAGCGGC